GGGUUGUGAGGUUAAGCGACUAAGCGUACACGGUGGAUGCCCUGGCAGUCAGAGGCGAUGAAGGACGUGCUAAUCUGCGAUAAGCGUCGGUAAGGUGAUAUGAACCGUUAUAACCGGCGAUUUCCGAAUGGGGAAACCCAGUGUGAUUCGUCACACUAUCAUUAACUGAAUCCAUAGGUUAAUGAGGCGAACCGGGGGAACUGAAACAUCUAAGUACCCCGAGGAAAAGAAAUCAACCGAGAUUCCCCCAGUAGCGGCGAGCGAACGGGGAGCAGCCCAGAGCCUGAAUCAGUGUGUGUGUUAGUGGAAGCGUCUGGAAAGGCGUGCGAUACAGGGUGACAGCCCCGUACACAAAAAUGCACAUGCUGUGAGCUCGAUGAGUAGGGCGGGACACGUGGUAUCCUGUCUGAAUAUGGGGGGACCAUCCUCCAAGGCUAAAUACUCCUGACUGACCGAUAGUGAACCAGUACCGUGAGGGAAAGGCGAAAAGAACCCCGGCGAGGGGAGUGAAAAAGAACCUGAAACCGUGUACGUACAAGCAGUGGGAGCCUCUUUUAUGGGGUGACUGCGUACCUUUUGUAUAAUGGGUCAGCGACUUAUAUUCUGUAGCAAGGUUAACCGAAUAGGGGAGCCGAAGGGAAACCGAGUCUUAACUGGGCGUUAAGUUGCAGGGUAUAGACCCGAAACCCGGUGAUCUAGCCAUGGGCAGGUUGAAGGUUGGGUAACACUAACUGGAGGACCGAACCGACUAAUGUUGAAAAAUUAGCGGAUGACUUGUGGCUGGGGGUGAAAGGCCAAUCAAACCGGGAGAUAGCUGGUUCUCCCCGAAAGCUAUUUAGGUAGCGCCUCGUGAAUUCAUCUCCGGGGGUAGAGCACUGUUUCGGCAAGGGGGUCAUCCCGACUUACCAACCCGAUGCAAACUGCGAAUACCGGAGAAUGUUAUCACGGGAGACACACGGCGGGUGCUAACGUCCGUCGUGAAGAGGGAAACAACCCAGACCGCCAGCUAAGGUCCCAAAGUCAUGGUUAAGUGGGAAACGAUGUGGGAAGGCCCAGACAGCCAGGAUGUUGGCUUAGAAGCAGCCAUCAUUUAAAGAAAGCGUAAUAGCUCACUGGUCGAGUCGGCCUGCGCGGAAGAUGUAACGGGGCUAAACCAUGCACCGAAGCUGCGGCAGCGACACUAUGUGUUGUUGGGUAGGGGAGCGUUCUGUAAGCCUGUGAAGGUGUGCUGUGAGGCAUGCUGGAGGUAUCAGAAGUGCGAAUGCUGACAUAAGUAACGAUAAAGCGGGUGAAAAGCCCGCUCGCCGGAAGACCAAGGGUUCCUGUCCAACGUUAAUCGGGGCAGGGUGAGUCGACCCCUAAGGCGAGGCCGAAAGGCGUAGUCGAUGGGAAACAGGUUAAUAUUCCUGUACUUGGUGUUACUGCGAAGGGGGGACGGAGAAGGCUAUGUUGGCCGGGCGACGGUUGUCCCGGUUUAAGCGUGUAGGCUGGUUUUCCAGGCAAAUCCGGAAAAUCAAGGCUGAGGCGUGAUGACGAGGCACUACGGUGCUGAAGCAACAAAUGCCCUGCUUCCAGGAAAAGCCUCUAAGCAUCAGGUAACAUCAAAUCGUACCCCAAACCGACACAGGUGGUCAGGUAGAGAAUACCAAGGCGCUUGAGAGAACUCGGGUGAAGGAACUAGGCAAAAUGGUGCCGUAACUUCGGGAGAAGGCACGCUGAUAUGUAGGUGAAGUCCCUCGCGGAUGGAGCUGAAAUCAGUCGAAGAUACCAGCUGGCUGCAACUGUUUAUUAAAAACACAGCACUGUGCAAACACGAAAGUGGACGUAUACGGUGUGACGCCUGCCCGGUGCCGGAAGGUUAAUUGAUGGGGUCAGCGCAAGCGAAGCUCUUGAUCGAAGCCCCGGUAAACGGCGGCCGUAACUAUAACGGUCCUAAGGUAGCGAAAUUCCUUGUCGGGUAAGUUCCGACCUGCACGAAUGGCGUAAUGAUGGCCAGGCUGUCUCCACCCGAGACUCAGUGAAAUUGAACUCGCUGUGAAGAUGCAGUGUACCCGCGGCAAGACGGAAAGACCCCGUGAACCUUUACUAUAGCUUGACACUGAACAUUGAGCCUUGAUGUGUAGGAUAGGUGGGAGGCUUUGAAGUGUGGACGCCAGUCUGCAUGGAGCCGACCUUGAAAUACCACCCUUUAAUGUUUGAUGUUCUAACGUUGACCCGUGAUCCGGGUUGCGGACAGUGUCUGGUGGGUAGUUUGACUGGGGCGGUCUCCUCCUAAAGAGUAACGGAGGAGCACGAAGGUUGGCUAAUCCUGGUCGGACAUCAGGAGGUUAGUGCAAUGGCAUAAGCCAGCUUGACUGCGAGCGUGACGGCGCGAGCAGGUGCGAAAGCAGGUCAUAGUGAUCCGGUGGUUCUGAAUGGAAGGGCCAUCGCUCAACGGAUAAAAGGUACUCCGGGGAUAACAGGCUGAUACCGCCCAAGAGUUCAUAUCGACGGCGGUGUUUGGCACCUCGAUGUCGGCUCAUCACAUCCUGGGGCUGAAGUAGGUCCCAAGGGUAUGGCUGUUCGCCAUUUAAAGUGGUACGCGAGCUGGGUUUAGAACGUCGUGAGACAGUUCGGUCCCUAUCUGCCGUGGGCGCUGGAGAACUGAGGGGGGCUGCUCCUAGUACGAGAGGACCGGAGUGGACGCAUCACUGGUGUUCGGGUUGUCAUGCCAAUGGCACUGCCCGGUAGCUAAAUGCGGAAGAGAUAAGUGCUGAAAGCAUCUAAGCACGAAACUUGCCCCGAGAUGAGUUCUCCCUGACCCUUUAAGGGUCCUGAAGGAACGUUGAAGACGACGACGUUGAUAGGCCGGGUGUGUAAGCGCAGCGAUGCGUUGAGCUAACCGGUACUAAUGAACCGUGAGGCUUAACCUUACAACGCCGAAG
RNAcentral lists this ribosomal RNA (2924 nucleotides) under Escherichia coli. Its description in RNAcentral is "23S ribosomal RNA". It matches the Rfam family "Bacterial large subunit ribosomal RNA". Lineage: Bacteria; Pseudomonadati; Pseudomonadota; Gammaproteobacteria; Enterobacterales; Enterobacteriaceae. The record is from RNAcentral.